This 194-nucleotide ribosomal RNA is filed under the name uncultured bacterium. Its description in RNAcentral is "partial 16S ribosomal RNA". It matches the Rfam family "Bacterial small subunit ribosomal RNA", at positions 338 to 524 of the family's 1533-position model. The record is from RNAcentral.
CCUACGGGAGGCAGCAGUGGGGAAUAUUGCACAAUGGGCGCAAGCCUGACGCAGCCAUGCCGCGUGUAUGAAGAAGGCCUUCGGGUUGUAAAGUACUUUCAGCGGGGAGGAAGGCGGUGAGGUUAAUAACCUUACCGAUUGACGUUACCCGCAGAAGAAGCACCGGCUAACUCCGUGCCAGCAGCCGCGGUAAU